Molecule: non-coding RNA, 213 nt
Filed under: Andreesenia angusta
Lineage: Bacteria; Bacillati; Bacillota; Tissierellia; Tissierellales; Gottschalkiaceae
Description: Eubacterium angustum T-box sequence
Rfam family: T-box leader
About the family: Uncharged tRNA acts as the effector for transcription antitermination of genes in the T-box leader family. T-boxes are found upstream of many aminoacyl-tRNA synthetase genes and some amino acid biosynthetic genes usually in Gram-positive bacteria.
Source: RNAcentral
UAAAUGGCUGUGAAAGAGACAAGUACUUAACUCCAAGCUUGCAGAGAGUCGGUGGAUGGUGAAAACUGACACUUGGGAUAAUUACACUCACUCUUGAGCCUCAGACCUGAAACACCAGUAGGGUCUGACGUCUGGUCUGCGUUAAAGACAUCCUAAGAGACAGCGGAAGCUGUAAUUAAGGUGGUACCGCGGGAAUAUACGCCCGUCCUUAUU